Long non-coding RNA from Grus americana (Whooping crane), 1664 nucleotides. RefSeq lists it as uncharacterized. NCBI's taxonomy places the organism in Eukaryota, Metazoa, Chordata, Aves, Gruiformes, Gruidae. The transcript has 2 exons. The record is from RefSeq and is a predicted model, not a curated record.
UACCAGCUCCGGUCUGCCGCAGCAUUUGCUGCUGCUUAGAAAAAACCCCUCAUUUACUCAAUUGAAGCUUCCCUGUUGAUUUAAUUAAUGAAAAUUGAGACAUGUGUAAAACCUCUUUGUAAUUACCGUAACACUGUCGUGGUUUGGGGUUUGGUUUUUUUUUUUUCCUUUCUCCUUUUUCUUGUAUUUUUAAGGAAAAGAGAAAGGCCUGGAUUCACAAUAGCUUGUGAAGAUCCACGGCCCUGCAAGCUGAGCCCAGUGCGUGCAGUGAGAACUGCACAAGCUCUGGUAGAGGAGCUCAGUGUCCAGCGGUGGGCUGCGAUACCAGCCCCGAAGACCAGCGCAGAUGCAGGCGCAGGGCUGACCCCACUCCUAACCCAAACCCAGGCAGCACCAUCUUGAGCAGAAUUCCUUAGAUUCCUUUGAUUGUUCCGUGGACUCCUCCACUGCAUUUGGAUUAAAACGUAUUCUUAUCUGAAGAUCAGCAAGACCUUUGCAGCCACUGAUUUUCCUUGUGAGAUCUUUGCCGGGCAGCAGCACGUCAGUACAGCCAGCGCGAAGAUGGGUACGCUGCAGUGUGGAGAAAAAUUUGCUGAAGGUUAAUACAAAGACUGAGAAACACGGAUAGAAAGAAAUCUUGUAACCCUUCUCCCUACCUCUGAGAACAAGUUUCUUUUAAAUUAGUCUCCCCUAGCAGGUUAUUAAAUCGCUUAAACUGAUUGACUCAGGUCAAAUAGUAUAUUGGAUUUCUAGUUUUAAAAUGAACUUUGCUAAUGCAGUGACUGUUACCAGACUUAGCAAAUACUUGCUAAUAUUACUUACCAAGGUGCUUUAAAACAUUCUCUGAUUAACAAAUAAGCUGUCAGUCCAUCCACCGUGAGUGCUUAAGGGUGGCAAUUUAAUACUCAGGAAGCACAUUUUCUUAUUGGAGAUUAAAUAUUUUUGCAAGUUAAAAGAGCUGCCGUGGGCUGAGUUGUCACCUAAUUAUGUCAGUCUCUUUGUGGGAUAUUUUGAUAAGCACAUCAGAGGAGAUGCUUUAAUCUUUAUGCUAAAUCUGAUCACGUCACAUCCUAAAUUCACACGUACGAGUCCUCCCGAUGAGACCUUGACUUAUCUGUUUCACUGAGAGCAGAUGAACUGAAGCCGAGGGACCUCAUGUUUUGUCUGUGCCAAGAACGAGCCCCCGAGCAACCGGUGGGCAGUUACUGUGGCUGCCAGUUGCACGAGGGCAACGAUUUUAAGCUGAUAUCACCAGCUCAGAUGUAUCGUAGCUGCUGAGGCUGAGAGUAGGUCAUAUUCCUAAUUUAUAGAGCCUUUGUCCCUUUCUCUCUGGGAAUGUCUGCUGCAGGUUCUGCUGCGGUCCUUUAUUUUCUUCAGGAUGCACAAAUUUAUCUGGCUGAUGUGGUUAGAUUUGGGCUUGAAACGGUAUCUUCCUUCUCAAUCCCUGUUUUGGGGCUAAAUAGUGACAUGUUGGAGGAAAUUUCUCAUACUGCUGCUUGCUCUCUUUUUUUAUUUUUUGGAAAACCUGGAAUUAGAGCAAAAAGCUUUUGUUGGUGAUAAGGAAUCCAGCAGACAAAAACUACCACAGCCACAUGCUGCUAUGCUCGACGAAAAGAAGAGUCUGUUUAGAAUCGCAGUAAAUGUGUCGAUAAACACAAAUCAAA